AGCGAACGCUGGCGGCAGGCUUAACACAUGCCAGUCGAGCGGGCCCUUCGGGGUCAGCGGCGGACGGGUGAGUAACGCGUGGGAACGUGCCUUCUGGUUCGGAAUAACUCAGGGAAACUUGAGCUAAUACCGGAUACGCCCUUUUGGGGAAAGGUUUACUGCCGGAAGAUCGGCCCGCGUCUGAUUAGCUAGUUGGUGGGGUAACGGCCUACCAAGGCGACGAUCAGUAGCUGGUCUGAGAGGAUGAUCAGCCACACUGGGACUGAGACACGGCCCAGACUCCUACGGGAGGCAGCAGUGGGGAAUAUUGGACAAUGGGCGCAAGCCUGAUCCAGCCAUGCCGCGUGAGUGAUGAAGGCCUUAGGGUUGUAAAGCUCUUUUAUCCGGGACGAUAAUGACGGUACCGGAGGAAUAAGCCCCGGCUAACUUCGUG
This 433-nucleotide ribosomal RNA is filed under the name uncultured bacterium. RNAcentral's name for it is "partial 16S ribosomal RNA". It matches the Rfam family "Bacterial small subunit ribosomal RNA", at positions 29 to 507 of the family's 1533-position model. The record is from RNAcentral.